RNAcentral lists this ribosomal RNA (300 nucleotides) under uncultured Alphaproteobacteria bacterium. RNAcentral describes it as "bacterial SSU rRNA". It matches the Rfam family "Bacterial small subunit ribosomal RNA", at positions 114 to 431 of the family's 1533-position model. The record is from RNAcentral. Lineage: Bacteria; Pseudomonadati; Pseudomonadota; Alphaproteobacteria.
CACGUGGGAAUAUGCCUUUCGGUACGGAACAACUCAGGGAAACUUGAGCUAAUGCCGUAUGCGCCCUUACGGGGAAAGAUUUAUCGCCGAAAGAUUAGCCCGCGUUGGAUUAGCUAGUUGGUGGGGUAACGGCCUACCAAGGCAACGAUCCAUAGCUGGUUUGAGAGAACGACCAGCCACACUGGGACUGAGACACGGCCCAGACUCCUACGGGAGGCAGCAGUGGGGAAUCUUGGACAAUGGGGGAAACCCUGAUCCAGCCAUGCCGCGUGAGUGAUGAAGGCCUUCGGGUUGGAAAAC